Triticum aestivum (bread wheat) is the source of this 105-nucleotide non-coding RNA. The record is from Rfam. NCBI's taxonomy places the organism in Eukaryota, Viridiplantae, Streptophyta, Magnoliopsida, Poales, Poaceae.
AUACUACUCCCUCCGUCCCAAAAUAAGUGACUCAAGUUUAUACUAACUUUGUACUAAAGUUAGUACAAAGUUGAGUCACUUAUUUUGGGACGGAGGGAGUACAUA